GUGCCCAUUUAGACACAUCUGAUAAAAUUGGAACGAUACAGAAAAGUUUAUCAUAACCCCAUCACAAAAAUGACACACACAAAUCAAGAAAUGAUCCAACUUUAU
This is a small nuclear RNA of Solanum pennellii, 105 nucleotides long. The record is from RefSeq and is a predicted model, not a curated record. Lineage: Eukaryota; Viridiplantae; Streptophyta; Magnoliopsida; Solanales; Solanaceae.